This 577-nucleotide long non-coding RNA is filed under the name Homo sapiens (human). RNAcentral describes it as "HSALNT0372959". Lineage: Eukaryota; Metazoa; Chordata; Mammalia; Primates; Hominidae. The record is from RNAcentral.
AGCCACCAGACAGGAUGGCCCAGGGCUGCUUGUUCCUUGACCUGCUAGGACCAACUGUGACUCAUCUAUUUACUGCAGAGCAAAGGAACCCACCAGGGCAGAGCCUCAGCUCUCAGCCUCCCGGAAUGAACCAUGAACCCAAAGCAAAGAGCAGAACUCCUUUGACACCUCCAGCUUCACAGACAAAGAUGAAUCUCCUAAGGCAUUUCUGAAACAUGCAGUUCUGAAGUCUGGCCAGCCACACCAAAGAGCUUUUCGCAAGAAGGCACAGGCCAGGUAGAGGCAGCUGUGCAGUGGGAGGACUGUGAUGUUUUGGACUAGAAAAUAAGACGCAAAUGAGGCCAAAAAAACACAGGCACUGCAUAAAGGUGUCUUCUCCCCACUUUAUAAGCCUUAUGUGUGAUAAUAUUCAAUGCCACAGCAAGGCAAGCAAAUAGGUCCUUGGAGGGAGGGAUAGCUGGAUUUUAAUCCUGGCUCUACACUAAGGUCUUGGACUACUUACUGCAGGUCUCUGAGCUUCAUAGUUUUAUGUAUAAAAUAGGAUGAAGACCAUCCCCAAAUCCACUUCGAUGGUGAG